Molecule: ribosomal RNA, 450 nt
Filed under: uncultured bacterium
Lineage: Bacteria
Description: partial 16S ribosomal RNA
Rfam family: Bacterial small subunit ribosomal RNA
Source: RNAcentral
GUGGGGAAUAUUGGACAAUGGGCGAAAGCCUGAUCCAGCCAUGCCGCGUGUGUGAAGAAGGUCUUCGGAUUGUAAAGCACUUUAAGUUGGGAGGAAGGGCAGUAAGUUAAUACCUUGCUGUUUUGACGUUACCGACAGAAUAAGCACCGGCUAACUUCGUGCCAGCAGCCGCGGUAAUACGAAGGGUGCAAGCGUUAAUCGGAAUUACUGGGCGUAAAGCGCGCGUAGGUGGUUUUGUAAGUUGGAGGUGAAAUUCCCGGGCUCAACCUGGGAACUGCCUCCAAAACUGCAUGACUAGAGUACGGUAGAGGGUAGUGGAAUUUCCUGUGUAGCGGUGAAAUGCGUAGAUAUAGGAAGGAACACCAGUGGCGAAGGCGACUACCUGGACUGAUACUGACACUGAGGUGCGAAAGCGUGGGGAGCAAACAGGAUUAGAUACCCGGGUAGUCC